UACGUAGGGUGCGAGCGUUAAUCGGAAUUACUGGGCGUAAAGCGUGCGCAGGCGGUUUUGUAAGCCAGAUGUGAAAGCCCCGGGCUUAACCUGGGAAUGGCAUUUGGGACUGCAAGGCUUGAGUGCGGCAGAGGAGACUGGAAUUCCUGGUGUAGCAGUGAAAUGCGUAGAUAUCAGGAGGAAUACCGAUGGCGAAGGCAGGUCUCUGGGCUGACACUGACGCUCAUGCACGAAAGCGUGGGGAGCAAACAAGGAUUAGAGUACCC
This 266-nucleotide ribosomal RNA is filed under the name uncultured bacterium. RNAcentral describes it as "partial 16S ribosomal RNA". It matches the Rfam family "Bacterial small subunit ribosomal RNA", at positions 524 to 787 of the family's 1533-position model. The record is from RNAcentral.